Molecule: ribosomal RNA, 495 nt
Filed under: uncultured bacterium
Lineage: Bacteria
Description: partial 16S ribosomal RNA
Rfam family: Bacterial small subunit ribosomal RNA
Source: RNAcentral
GACGAACGCUGGCGGCGUGCCUAAUACAUGCAAGUAGAACGCUGAAGGAGGAGCUUGCUUCUCUGGAUGAGUUGCGAACGGGUGAGUAACGCGUAGGUAACCUGCCUGGUAGCGGGGGAUAACUAUUGGAAACGAUAGCUAAUACCGCAUAAGAGUAGAUGUCGCAUGACAUUUGCUUAAAAGGUGCAAUUGCAUCACUACCAGAUGGACCUGCGUUGUAUUAGCUAGUUGGUGAGGUAACGGCUCACCAAGGCAACGAUACAUAGCCGACCUGAGAGGGUGAUCGGCCACAGUGGGACUGAGACACGGCCCAGACUCCGACGGGAGGCCGCAGUAGGGAAUCUUCGGCAAUGGACGGAAGUCUGACCGAGCAACGCCGCGUGAGUGAAGAAGGUUUUCGGAUCGUAAAGCUCUGUUGUAAGAGAAGAACGAGUGUGAGAGUGGAAAGUUCACACUGUGACGGUAUCUUACCAGAAAGGGACGGCUAACUACGUG